RNAcentral lists this ribosomal RNA (433 nucleotides) under uncultured bacterium. RNAcentral describes it as "partial 16S ribosomal RNA". It matches the Rfam family "Bacterial small subunit ribosomal RNA", at positions 29 to 507 of the family's 1533-position model. The record is from RNAcentral.
AACGAACGCUGGCGGCAUGCCUAACACAUGCAAGUCGAACGAGACCUUCGGGUCUAGUGGCGCACGGGUGCGUAACGCGUGGGAACCUGCCCUUAGGGUCGGAAUAACUCCCCGAAAGGGGUGCUAAUACCGGAUAAUGUCUUCGGACCAACGAUUUAUCGCCUUUGGAUGGGCCCGCGUUGGGUUAGCUAGUUGGUAGGGUAAAAGCCUACCAAGGCGACGAUCCAUAGCUGGUCUGAGAGGAUGAUCAGCCACACUGGGACUGAGACACGGCCCAGACUCCUACGGGAGGCAGCAGUGGGGAAUAUUGGACAAUGGGCGAAAGACUGAUCCAGCAAUGCCGCGUGAGUGAUGAAGGCCUUAGGGUUGUAAAGCUCUUUUACCCGGGAUGAUAAUGACAGUACCGGGAGAAUAAGCUCCGGCUAACUCCGUG